Molecule: ribosomal RNA, 465 nt
Filed under: Vreelandella stevensii
Lineage: Bacteria; Pseudomonadati; Pseudomonadota; Gammaproteobacteria; Oceanospirillales; Halomonadaceae
Description: partial 16S ribosomal RNA
Rfam family: Bacterial small subunit ribosomal RNA
Source: RNAcentral
CCUACGGGAGGCUGCAGUGGGGAAUAUUGGACAAUGGGGGCAACCCUGAUCCAGCCAUGCCGCGUGUGUGAAGAAGGCCCUCGGGUUGUAAAGCACUUUCAGUGAGGAAGAACGCCUGGUGGUUAAUACCCAUCAGGAAAGACAUCACUCACAGAAGAAGCACCGGCUAACUCCGUGCCAGCAGCCGCGGUAAUACGGAGGGGGCGAGCGUUAAUCGGAAUUACUGGGCGUAAAGCGCGCGUAGGUGGCUUGAUAAGCCGGUUGUGAAAGCCCCGGGCUCAACCUGGGAACGGCAUCCGGAACUGUCAAGCUAGAGUGCAGGAGAGGAAGGUAGAAUUCCCGGUGUAGCGGUGAAAUGCGUAGAGAUCGGGAGGAAUACCAGUGGCGAAGGCGGCCUUCUGGACUGACACUGACACUGAGGUGCGAAAGCGUGGGUAGCAAACAGGAUUAGAUACCCGAGUAGUC